RNAcentral lists this ribosomal RNA (460 nucleotides) under uncultured bacterium. RNAcentral describes it as "partial 16S ribosomal RNA". It matches the Rfam family "Bacterial small subunit ribosomal RNA", at positions 338 to 795 of the family's 1533-position model. The record is from RNAcentral.
CCUACGGGUGGCUGCAGUGAGGAAUAUUGGUCAAUGGGCGGGAGCCUGAACCAGCCAAGUCACGUGAGGGAAGACGGUCCUACGGAUUGUAAACCUCUUUUGCCGGGGAGCAACGGGGUCCUUGCGAGGGCCCGAUGAGAGUACCCGGAGAAAAAGCAUCGGCUAACUCCGUGCCAGCAGCCGCGGUAAUACGGAGGAUGCGAGCGUUAUCCGGAUUUAUUGGGUUUAAAGGGUGCGUAGGCGGGCUGUUAAGUCAGCGGUCAAAUGUCGGGGCUCAACCCCGGCCUGCCGUUGAAACUGGCGGCCUCGAGUGGGCGAGAAGUAUGCGGAAUGCGUGGUGUAGCGGUGAAAUGCAUAGAUAUCACGCAGAACUCCGAUUGCGAAGGCAGCUUACUAAACUAUAACUGACACUGAAGCACGAAAGCGUGGGGAUCAAACAGGAUUAGAUACCCUAGUAGUC